UGGUCAAAUUCAUACACCCAUUAUAAAGCUUCACACGCAGACCUCAAUUUUAGAUUCUCAAGGCCUGCUUUGAUGAAAUUUGAGGUGAAACUUGUGUGCAUGCUUGUUUUUGAGCCCUUAUUCAACUUUCUGUGCUUGGCUUCUUUCUGGGUUUCUUGUUGAAAUAAGAUUUUAUUCAAUAUUUUGGGUCCUUGUGGGGAGAAGAAAGGAUACUGAGUUCGCUGGCGGGAGGGGUUAAAUAUGACGCUGGUGGGAGAUAUGCCACGUCUCCGCCACCUACAGGGCGAAUUAGCGGCAAGCACAGAGCACCCACGUCUCCGCCGUCGAGAGGGUGAAUUAGCGGCAAAGCGUCCUGCACAAUUAGGCGGAGAUGAUCAAAACAUUUCAAAUUGAUUUCACUGAAGAACGGGUUUGAAGGUGGAGUACAUCGUGUGGAUUUGAAAGGGUUUGUACACAUUUUCGGAUACAAAUGCGGCAUUUUUGCUCAGGAGCUUGAAAUCAAUGAAUUUAUGAAUGGGUUGAGGCCGGAAACCACAUGCAAACCAGAUUCUGCGCAUUCCCUAUUGAGCCGUAUUCGAAUUCAUUAGUGAGGAACACAUGUUUGCUGAGCCUGUUUCGAUUUCAUAUCGUUCAGUAUCUGUCUGGUUUAGUUGAACAUCGGUGCACCUGUCAGUUACGUUAAUGUUUAGUUCAGAGAGAAUCGAACCCGAAAGUAUUUGAUAUCAGCUGUGAUAUUCACUCAUUGAUCUAGACUCGUAGAUGUAAAUCCACUAACAUUAUUGAAAUAACAAGUUGCAUAUCCAGAUGUUAAAUCCCAGAAAGUUUCGAGAGAUAUGAAGAUCUAUGUUCAUCCAUUUUCAUUUCGAAGCUAAAUUACAAUAGUUCUAGUUUUAUUCAUGGGCAACAGUCAGAAAAGAUUUAGCUGGCGAGGACUAUGUACUGUUUAGGCGUUGGACCGUAGCUUCUACACAUGAUUAUCAUUUUUCACCCAUGAUCAUAGUAACUAGAACCUUGCACAUCUUCAGUUAGAGGAAAACUGGUGAGGGAUCCAUACUGUUUAGGCGUUGGACAGGGUAAUUGAAUUCUUGUCUACAUUAAAGCACAUGACCUCGUGAUCAUAUAUUUGAAAUGCUUCUUCAGUUUGGAUUAUGGAGAUAGAAAACGUGAGGACCUAAGCUAAUCAAAUUCGAGCAAAACCGAAAUUGCAACAAGAACUGAAGUCGGAUGAAGGAUACGAACCAGCUCCGGCUUCAUUCGGAGGACGCGCUCCGACAGCUUCCACUGAGGAACGACGGCGUCAGGCGGCGAGAUAGCUCGGUUGGCCGAGGAGUGAGCAGCAGAGCUCCAGCGAGAGCCAUUGGAGUGGGAGAACGAGGAGAACGGAGCAGCGGACGAGUGAGAGUUGGAGGAGGCGGAGUAGGAGAGCUUACUGCGAUCAACGUCGGUUGCGGAUGAGUAUUUGGCGGCGGCGGAGGUGGUGGUGGUUGAGCUGGAGUUUCUGAGGUGUGGAGGCACAUACGACAUCGUUUUUGCUUUCGACGGGAAGUUUCUCGGAGUCUGAUUUAUGCAGCGACUAUAUGAGUGAGAGUGAGUGUUUCAAAAGAGGUGUGUAGGAGAAAAUGAGAGGUUCGUGGUUGGCCAAUCUCAAAAAGCUGAAAGGGAUCAUAAAUGUUCAAAACUGUUUUGCUCGAUUUUGUGGGCUAUGGGCCGUUUUGGGUCUGCGGGCUUUACGUUCUAGCCCAUGUUGAUGGCCCGAAUAAGAAACCCUACUAAAAAUUGGACCGGUCUUGUCCAAUGACGUGGGCAAGGAUUGUCGAAUUUGUCGAUAUCUUUUUCUGGAAGAUAAAUGUUUUUUUAUCCUUUUUUGGGAAAAGAAGAAAAAAAAAGUACAAAUAGAAAGUAGAAAGUAAAAGAUCUGACUAAUAAUCAUCAUGAAAAAAGUGUGACAUUGUCGUAAAGUCAAAAAGUAUGUAUAAUAAUAUGCAUGUGUUGAAUUAGUGUUGAUUUU
This is an RNA transcript of Fragaria vesca subsp. vesca, 2008 nucleotides long. RefSeq lists it as uncharacterized. The transcript is spliced from 2 exons. NCBI's taxonomy places the organism in Eukaryota, Viridiplantae, Streptophyta, Magnoliopsida, Rosales, Rosaceae. The record is from RefSeq and is a predicted model, not a curated record.